UCCCCAUUUCUUCAGUACACCACAAAACUGAUUGAUUAAAACAUGAAAUUAUAUUCUUCUUCUUCUCACGUACAUCAAAUAUGAAAAAACUCACAACAUAAGAAUACCCAAAAAAGGCUUAACAUCAAUUGUACUUCUUCUCGCGUACAAUACUCAGUUUCCAACAAAGAACAUCAACUAUUCUUCUUUGAUUCAACAACAAUCUUUCUUCUGCAAGGGUAGAUUUAAAAUUAGGUUAAAAUGUUGUUGAAUCAGGCAUAAACAAUUAGAUCUGGCACAAAUUUCGUUCCUAGACACAAAGAAAGACAUAAUGGAUCUAGAUGAAAUUUUGGCUAUUUUUCAUGAAGAGCCAGAAACCGAAUUCGCUGGAGGUGAUCUAGAGUUAUGGUGCAGAGGAAGAAAAUACUUCAACCGAUGAAGAUGAAGAGGAAUCCAACAAUGAAGGAUUUUCUUGCAAUUAUGAUGAUGCAACAGCUGUGGAUACUGUGAUCGUGCUUAGUGUGCAGUUUGCUGUCGUGAGUGGCCUUGCCUCACUGAGUCGUCUAGGUCGCUCUGAUACGUAACAGGAUGGGGUGUUAUGAUAUGCAUGCUUCAUUCUCUUACGUGAACAAUUAUGUUAUUUUAUGAUGUUGAAUUAACUCAUUUGAAAUAUUUUGAUGGGGCCUACGUGCCAAAAUGAUUUAUGGUUUUCAAAUUAAUUUCCGCUGCAACGUUUGAAAUAUUUGUUAAAGUUAAAUUGUUAUUUAACUGUUUUGCGAUUAUGUUGAAUGUGAUAUCCCGUUAUUUGAUGUUUACUCUGAUAAAUGUUUAGAAAUUU
Molecule: long non-coding RNA, 817 nt
Filed under: Medicago truncatula (barrel medic)
Lineage: Eukaryota; Viridiplantae; Streptophyta; Magnoliopsida; Fabales; Fabaceae
Description: lncRNA gene22222
Source: RNAcentral